Molecule: unclassified non-coding RNA, 226 nt
Filed under: Ascomycota sp.
Lineage: Eukaryota; Fungi; Ascomycota
Description: partial contains small subunit ribosomal RNA, internal transcribed spacer 1, and 5.8S ribosomal RNA
Rfam family: Eukaryotic small subunit ribosomal RNA (bases 1-47)
Source: RNAcentral
AAAGUCGUAACAAGGUCUCCGUUGGUGAACCAGCGGAGGGAUCAUUAAAGAGUUGCAAAACUCCCUACCAUUGUGAACUUACCACUGUUGCUUCGGCGGGGGCCGUCGCGGCCGGCCUCCCCUUCAGGGGAGGCCACCCGCCGGAGUUCUAUACACUCUCUGUAAUGGCAGCUCUGAGUCUACCUUCCAAUUAUUAAAACUUUCAACAACGGAUCUCUUGGUUCUG